This 305-nucleotide ribosomal RNA is filed under the name uncultured bacterium. Its description in RNAcentral is "partial 16S ribosomal RNA". It matches the Rfam family "Bacterial small subunit ribosomal RNA", at positions 337 to 657 of the family's 1533-position model. The record is from RNAcentral.
GCCUACGGGGGGCAGCAGUGGGGAAUAUUGCACAAUGGGGGGAACCCUGAUGCAGCGACGCCGCGUGAGUGAAGAAGUAUUUCGGUACGUAAAGCUCUAUCAGCAGGGAAGAAAAAAGGACGGUACCUGAGUAAGAAGCCCCGGCUAACUACGUGCCAGCAGCCGCGGUAAUACGUAGGUGGCAAGCGUUGUCCGGAUUUACUGGGUGUAAAGGGCGUGUAGCCGGGAAGGCAAGUCAGAUGUGAAAUCCGGAGGCUCAACAUCCGAAUUGCAUUUGAAACUGUUUUUCUUGAGUACUGGAGAGG